GUCGAACGGGCGUGGUUACAUCAUUCAUUAGUGGCGCAGGGGUUGCGUAAGCGUAAUCAACUAACUCUCUUUUGGGGAUUACCCGAUGAUUCUCGGAACAACACGCAUAAAUUAUUUUAGGGCACUUAAGAUUAAUGAGCUUAAGCGAUAGAGAUGGGCAUGCGUGAAAUUAGCUAGUUUGUUGGUGGUAUCGGCACACCAAGGCGACGAUGUCUAGGGGUUCUUGAGAGGAUUAUUCCCCCACACUUGGUAAUGAGAUCACGGACCAGAAUCCCUACGGGAGGCAGCAGUAGGGAAACACCGGGCAACGGCGGAAAACGCUGACCCCAGCCCAUUGCCGCGUGGCAGGAUCGAAAGGGCCUUUCUGGGGUUCGUAAAACUCGCUUUUCACCCAAGGGAAAGAGAAAUCACCCUUUCGCGAAAGGGAAACUCGAACGGUA
This 440-nucleotide ribosomal RNA is filed under the name uncultured bacterium. RNAcentral's name for it is "bacterial SSU rRNA". The stretch from base 1 to 328 matches the Rfam family "Bacterial small subunit ribosomal RNA", at positions 61 to 390 of the family's 1533-position model. The record is from RNAcentral.